This is a long non-coding RNA of Apis laboriosa (Himalayan honeybee), 689 nucleotides long. RefSeq lists it as uncharacterized. NCBI's taxonomy places the organism in Eukaryota, Metazoa, Arthropoda, Insecta, Hymenoptera, Apidae. The record is from RefSeq and is a predicted model, not a curated record. The transcript has 3 exons.
UGCUCCAAAUCGAUCGUUUCUUCUUUAAACGAAAUCGUUCUAAAAGAAAAAUCGCGUUGUGAUAUUGAAAUAUCGUAAAAGUUGAAAGCAUCGGGUGAACUUGGUUAACAGUGAUCGUAAGGAAACGUAGAAACACGGGACCAGUGAUCGAAUAUUGAGUGAUCUGAGUAGUGAAUCGCGUUCAACCCGAAGGAGGAAAAAGGAAGGAAAGCGAAAGGUGUGGGACGACGAAGCGGGGAAAUGAAACCGAUAAGGCGAUUCGAGGCUAACCUUCGUGGCAGAGAAAGAGAAAAGUGAAUUGGGGCAAAGGUCUCUGACAUCGUGGCUGGCCGUGGGAGAGAAACAAGCCGAAGAGAAGUGGUACGACCGGCUGUCAGAGGGGAGAGAGUUCUCUCUCUUUCUCUCAACCGAGGGUAAUUUUGAAUAUCGCAUUGUCGAAGGGAUUCUCGAAAAGUUUAACGAAAGGAAAGGAAAGGAAAGGAUUCGAAAGGAAACGAAGAACGUUCCAUUUUUGAAUUUUAAUAAUUUUGAAAAAUUGGAAACGAGGGAAGAAGAUAAUAAUUGAUUUUCCAUAAGAAGGAUCAAGGAGGAAAGAACGUUUAUUACGAGAGAUAACUCGAAGAAAUAUGUACGGAGAAGAAGGUAUGAUCAAGUUUGAAGAUUUAGGAAGCGAUUAGAUUAGAUUAGAA